UCUUUUUCCACCGGAGCUUGCUCCACCGGAAAAGAAGAGUGGCGAACGGGUGAGUAACACGUGGGUAACCUGCCCAUCAGAAGGGGAUAACACUUGGAAACAGGUGCUAAUACCGUAUAACAAUCGAAACCGCAUGGUUUUGAUUUGAAAGGCGCUUUCGGGUGUCGCUGAUGGAUGGACCCGCGGUGCAUUAGCUAGUUGGUGAGGUAACGGCUCACCAAGGCCACGAUGCAUAGCCGACCUGAGAGGGUGAUCGGCCACAUUGGGACUGAGACACGGCCCAAACUCCUACGGGAGGCAGCAGUAGGGAAUCUUCGGCAAUGGACGAAAGUCUGACCGAGCAACGCCGCGUGAGUGAAGAAGGUUUUCGGAUCGUAAAACUCUGUUGUUAGAGAAGAACAAGGAUGAGAGUAACUGUUCAUCCCUUGACGGUAUCUAACCAGAAAGCCACGGCUAACUACGUGCCAGCAGCCGCGGUAAUACGUAGGUGGCAAGCGUUGUCCGGAUUUAUUGGGCGUAAAGCGAGCGCAGGCGGUUUCUUAAGUCUGAUGUGAAAGCCCCCGGCUCAACCGGGGAGGGUCAUUGGAAACUGGGAGACUUGAGUGCAGAAGAGGAGAGUGGAAUUCCAUGUGUAGCGGUGAAAUGCGUAGAUAUAUGGAGGAACACCAGUGGCGAAGGCGGCUCUCUGGUCUGUAACUGACGCUAAGGCUCGAAGCGUGGGGAGCAAACAGGAUUAGAUACCCUGGUAGUCCACGCCGUAAACGAUGAGUGCUAAGUGUUGGAGGGUUUCCGCCCUUCAGUGCUGCAGCUAACGCAUUAAGCACUCCGCCUGGGG
This 835-nucleotide ribosomal RNA is filed under the name Enterococcus durans. RNAcentral describes it as "bacterial SSU rRNA". It matches the Rfam family "Bacterial small subunit ribosomal RNA", at positions 69 to 878 of the family's 1533-position model. The record is from RNAcentral. Lineage: Bacteria; Bacillati; Bacillota; Bacilli; Lactobacillales; Enterococcaceae.